This 497-nucleotide ribosomal RNA is filed under the name uncultured bacterium. RNAcentral's name for it is "partial 16S ribosomal RNA". It matches the Rfam family "Bacterial small subunit ribosomal RNA", at positions 28 to 507 of the family's 1533-position model. The record is from RNAcentral.
GAUGAACGCUGGCGGCGUGCCUAAUACAUGCAAGUCGAGCGAACGGACGAGAAGCUUGCUUCUCUGAUGUUAGCGGCGGACGGGUGAGUAACACGUGGAUAACCUACCUAUAAGACUGGGAUAACUUCGGGAAACCGGAGCUAAUACCGGAUAAUAUUUUGAACCACAUGGUUCAAAAGUGAAAGACGGUCUUGCUGUCACUUAUAGAUGGAUCCGCGCUGCAUUAGCUAGUUGGUAAGGUAACGGCUUACCAAGGCAACGAUGCAUAGCCGACCUGAGAGGGUGAUCGGACACACUGGAACUGAGACACGGUCCAGACUCCUACGGGAGGCAGCAGUAGGGAAUCUUCCGCAAUGGGCGAAAGCCUGACGGAGCAACGCCGCGUGAGUGAUGAAGGUCUUCGGAUCGUAAAACUCUGUUAUUAGGGAAGAACAUAUGUGUAAGUAACUGUGCACAUCUUGACGGUACCUAAUCAGAAAGCCACGGCUAACUACGUG